This 34-nucleotide ribosomal RNA is filed under the name Fomitopsis malicola. Its description in RNAcentral is "Brunneoporus malicola partial 28S ribosomal RNA". Lineage: Eukaryota; Fungi; Basidiomycota; Agaricomycetes; Polyporales; Fomitopsidaceae. The record is from RNAcentral.
GGUAGGGUUACCCGCUGAACUUAAGCAUAUCAAU